UGCGUAGGCGGACUAAUAAGUCAGUGGUAAAAUCUUUCGGCUCAACCGAGAAACUGCCAUUGAUACUGUUAGUCUUGAGUUCGGUUGAGGUAGGCGGAAUGUGUAAUGUAGCGGUGAAAUGCUUAGAUAUUACACAGAACACCAAUUGCGUAGGCAGCUUACUAGACCGACACUGACGCUGAGGCACGAAAGCGUGGGUAGCGAACAGGAUUAGAUACCCUGGUAGUC
Molecule: ribosomal RNA, 228 nt
Filed under: uncultured bacterium
Lineage: Bacteria
Description: partial 16S ribosomal RNA
Rfam family: Bacterial small subunit ribosomal RNA
Source: RNAcentral